RNAcentral lists this ribosomal RNA (301 nucleotides) under uncultured bacterium. RNAcentral describes it as "partial 16S ribosomal RNA". It matches the Rfam family "Bacterial small subunit ribosomal RNA", at positions 509 to 809 of the family's 1533-position model. The record is from RNAcentral.
CAGCAGCCGCGGGAAUACGGAGGGAGCUAGCGUUGUUCGGAAUUACUGGGCGUAAAGCGCGCGUAGGCGGUUACUCAAGUCAGAGGUGAAAGCCCGGGGCUCAACCCCGGAACUGCCUUUGAAACUAGGUGACUAGAAUCUUGGAGAGGUCAGUGGAAUUCCGAGUGUAGAGGUGAAAUUCGUAGAUAUUCGGAAGAACACCAGUGGCGAAGGCGACUGACUGGACAAGUAUUGACGCUGAGGUGCGAAAGCGUGGGGAGCAAACAGGAUUAGAUACCCCCGUAGUCCCUGUCUCUUAUAA